Molecule: ribosomal RNA, 1584 nt
Filed under: Triticum aestivum (bread wheat)
Lineage: Eukaryota; Viridiplantae; Streptophyta; Magnoliopsida; Poales; Poaceae
Description: partial small subunit ribosomal RNA
Source: RNAcentral
AUGGCGACGGCGCGCCACCGCGGCAUGCCGCGGCGCGAAUGCAACCUGCUGAUCAGGACCCUCGCGAGGCGCGGCAGCUACGCCCGUGUCAUGGCGGUCUACUACGACCUCCGCGGGCGCGGCCUCGUGGCGGACAGCUUCACCUACCCGUUCGUGUUCAGGGCCAUCGGUGCCCUCAAGCUACCGGUCGAGGGACGCAAGGCGCACGCGGCGGCCCUGAAGACCGGUUUCCGGUGGGAUGCCUACACCGCGAGCUCGCUCAUGGACAUGUACACGACGGUGGACCGCCCGGAAGUCGCGCGGAAGGUGUUCGAUGAAAUGCCGCAGAGGGCGCUGGUCGUGUGGAAUAUGAUGAUCAGGUGCUAUGUCAGGCGCGGCCGAAACACAGAAGCGGUUGCUUUGGCUGAGGAGAUGGAAAGGGGCGGUCUAACGCCCGAUAGGGUCACGCUGUUGACCGCACUCACCGCGUGCUCCAGAGCCGGUGAUCUGAGCUUAGGAAGGAGAAUUCAUGCCUACAUGGAUGGAGUCACUGGGUUCAGCCUCCCAGUUGCAAAUGCACUGCUGGACAUGUACAUGAAGAAUGGCUGCUUGGAAGAGGCGGUGAAGCUGUUCGAGAAAAUGCCGUCGAGGAACAUCAUUUCUUGGACUAUACUUGUGUCUGGAUAUGCCUUUGCCGGACAGGUGGACAAGGCGAGAUUACUCUUCCACCAGUGCACAGAGAAGGAUCUAAUUAUGUGGACUGCUAUGAUCAACGCGUAUGCACAACAUGGAUGCUUCGUGGAGGCAUUGUCGUUGUUUCGAGACAUGCUAAUGCAUCAAGUUGAGCCAGACAGGUUCACUGUUGUCACUCUCCUGACAUGCUGUGCCAAUCUUGGCGCGCUCGAUCAAGGUGAAUGGAUCCACCAGCUUGCUGAAGGUAAGAAGAUGAAGCUUGAUGCAGUUCUUGGCACGGCAUUGAUCGACAUGUAUGCCAAGUGUGGGCAUGUAGAGAAGUCGGUGGAGGUCUUUGAACGAAUGCAAGGCAGAGACACUACGGCUUGGACUGCCAUUAUCUGCGGCCUGGCCACAAAUGGUCAGGCAGGUAGAGCCCUCGAAUUGUUUGAGGGUAUGGAGAAAAGCAAUGCUAAGCCUGACAGCGUUACCUUCAUUGGGGUGCUGAGUGCAUGUUGCCAUGGUGGCUUGGUUGAUGAAGGGCGGAAACAGUUUCGUGCCAUGAAGGAGGUUUAUCGGAUACGACCAAGAGUUGAACAUUAUAGUUGCCUUGUCAAUCUUUUAGGUCGUGCUGGUCAACUUGAUGAAGCUGAGAAGUUGAUCAAGGAUAUACCAAUUGACAAGGACGCUAUGCCACUGUUUGGUGCACUCCUCACUGCUUGCAAGGCUCAAGGCAAUGUCGAGAUGAGCGAAAGGCUGACCAAACGAAUAGGCAAGCAAGGCUACCAAAUUCCUGAUGUGGAUUUGCUCAUGUCUAAUGUGUAUGCAACUGCAAGUCGAUGGGAGGAUGUAUUAAGAGUAAGGAGCAAGAUGGCACACCCCAGUGUCAAGAAAAAUGCAGGGUGCAGCUUGAUCGAGGUGAAGGGAUACUGA